UACGGAGGGGGCUAGCGUUGUUCGGAAUUACUGGGCGUAAAGCGCGCGUAGGCGGACCUGCAAGUCGGGGGUGAAAGCCCGAGGCUCAACCUCGGAACUGCCUUCGAUACUGCGGGUCUCGAGUCCGGGAGAGGUGAGUGGAAUUCCUAGUGUAGAGGUGAAAUUCGUAGAUAUUAGGAAGAACACCGGUGGCGAAGGCGGCCAACUGGACCAUUACUGACGCUGAGGCGCGAAAGCGUGGGGAGCAAACAGG
Molecule: ribosomal RNA, 253 nt
Filed under: uncultured bacterium
Lineage: Bacteria
Description: partial 16S ribosomal RNA
Rfam family: Bacterial small subunit ribosomal RNA
Source: RNAcentral